RNAcentral lists this ribosomal RNA (405 nucleotides) under uncultured bacterium. RNAcentral's name for it is "bacterial SSU rRNA". It matches the Rfam family "Bacterial small subunit ribosomal RNA", at positions 976 to 1381 of the family's 1533-position model. The record is from RNAcentral.
UAGCCUUGACAUAUUUUAGAACUCCGCAGAGAUGCAGAGGUGCCUUCGGGAGCUAAUAUACAGGUGCUGCACGGCUGUCGUCAGCUCGUGUCGUGAGAUGUUGGGUUAAGUCCCGCAACGAGCGCAACCCUCGUCACUAGUUACUAACGGUUCGGCCGAGGACUCUAGUGAGACUGCCUUCGUAAGGAGGAGGAAGGUGAGGACGACGUCAAGUCAUCAUGGCCCUUACGGCUAGGGCAACACACGUGCUACAAUGGGCAGGACAAUGAGAUGCGAUACCGCGAGGUGGAGCAAAUCUAUAAACCUGUUCUCAGUUCGGAUUGUAGUCUGCAACUCGACUACAUGAAGCUGGAAUCACUAGUAAUCGUAGAUCAGCUAUGCUACGGUGAAUACGUUCCCGGGUCU